GAUGAAGAACGCAGUGAAACGCGAAAGGUAAUGCGAAUUGCAGAAUUCAGUGAAUCAUCGAAUCUUUGAACGCACAUUGCGCCCGUCAGUAUUCUGGCGGGCAUGCCUGUUCGAGCGUCAUUACGCCCCUCAAGUCCCCUGUGGACUUGGUGUUGGGGAUCGGCGAGGCUGGUUUUCCAGCACAGCCGUCCCUUAAAUUAAUUGGCGGUCUCGCCGUGGCCCUCCUCUGCGCAGUAGUAAAACACUCGCAACAGGAGCCCGGCGCGGUCCACUGCCGUAAAACCCCCCAACUUUUUAUAGUUGACCUCGAAUCAGGUAGGACUACCCGCUGAACUUAAGCAUAUCAAUAAGCGGAGGA
Molecule: unclassified non-coding RNA, 358 nt
Filed under: soil metagenome
Description: partial contains 5.8S ribosomal RNA, internal transcribed spacer 2, and large subunit ribosomal RNA
Rfam family: 5.8S ribosomal RNA (bases 1-120)
Source: RNAcentral